This is a non-coding RNA of Pelobates cultripes (western spadefoot toad), 304 nucleotides long. The record is from the annotation of a GenBank genome assembly. Lineage: Eukaryota; Metazoa; Chordata; Amphibia; Anura; Pelobatidae.
AAUAUUGGGACAUAUAAAAAAAGACAACUCUCUUCCACAGAGUAGCUGUUGACAUUAUAGUUGCGCAGGAACUUUGUUGACUCUAGAGAACCUUGGGCAAAUCGCAUACCCCCCGUGACGGCAACUUUGCAUGCGGAUGUCAACCAUAUCAACUUUCGAUGCCAGUUUCUGUGCCUACCGUGGUGACCACGGGUAACGGGGAAUCAGGGUUCCAUUUCAUACAGGGACCCUGAGAAACGGCUACCACAUGCAAGGAAGGCAGCAGGCGCACAAAUGACCCACUCCCGACGCAGGAAGGUAGUGA